RNAcentral lists this ribosomal RNA (272 nucleotides) under uncultured bacterium. RNAcentral's name for it is "partial 16S ribosomal RNA". It matches the Rfam family "Bacterial small subunit ribosomal RNA", at positions 524 to 794 of the family's 1533-position model. The record is from RNAcentral.
UACGGAGGGUGCGAGCGUUGUUCGGAUUUACUGGGCGUAAAGCGCGUGCAGGCGGGUCAGCAAGUCCUGUGUGUAAUCUUCCGGCUCAACCGGGAAGCUGCAUGGGAAACUACUGAUCUUGAGUGCGAGAGAGGAUGGCGGAAUUCCUGGUGUAGCGGUGAAAUGCGUAGAUAUCAGGAGGAACACCGGUGGCGAAGGCGGCCGUCUGGCUCGACACUGACGCUCAUACGCGAAGGCCGGGGGAGCAAACAGGAUUAGAAACCCCGUGUAGU